This is an RNA transcript of Lethenteron reissneri (Far Eastern brook lamprey), 1394 nucleotides long. It is a transcript of the gene named protein mono-ADP-ribosyltransferase PARP12-like, with no coding region annotated. Lineage: Eukaryota; Metazoa; Chordata; Hyperoartia; Petromyzontiformes; Petromyzontidae. The record is from RefSeq and is a predicted model, not a curated record.
UACCCUGACAGACACACAUCGUCGUAAGGUGCUUGCAAGUCUUUUUUUAAAGAGGGCGUUUGAAAGGGUCAUUUGAAAUGGUACAGUCUUCACUGACGGACAAGCCCGUUGGAUGCUCUGGUUAGAGUUUACGAACAAGAUUUUGCUCAAGGCUUAAGGUUAUAUGACAUUUGCCGAAGUCAAGUGCCACCAGACAUUCAAGCCGAAGAGGCCAAAAUGACCCUAAAAUUGCCGUUCCAUUGCGAAGACUCAACGUCAUCAGAGGACUAUUGCUCGAUAUCCACGUGUUCCGAUUCAGAGGAAGAGGGUUCUUCAAGUGCGACCCACACCGGCCUCUGCCUUCAGUACUUAACUCAGAAAAAAUGCACAAAAACCGCCGGUUGCUCUGACUACCACUCAGAAUUGCCUUACUUGUGGCAAAUUCUUAAGGACGGGCGGUGGGAAAAUCUCAGGCGGAAUGAAGCAAUUGAGCGAGCCUUCAGUAGGCCACAAAAUCACAGCUAUAGGCUCACUUCAACAGAAAGUGAUUCGCUCAUCGGAUACCUGGACUUUGACACCAUGAAGUGCUACGGUCCACAAACCAGGUCCGUUCGGCGCCUGUCAGUACCGUCAGUGGACCGCUGGGUGUGGUACUCCAAGGACAGCUAUGAGGAAUGGGUCAAAUUUGGAGAAAAGAAUUCCUGGGGAAUCACCACCGAGCUGACAAGUGCCAAAAUUGAAGAGGUUUAUGCCCAAAAUCCUUGUGUCGUAAUUGAAUACAAAGACAGCUUGCUGGAUUUGACAGAGAUGCAUGAAUGCACAGCAAAAUGGAAACGGCCUAUCAGGCGACGGCCUGAGUUUCAAAGAAGGGCGGCGGAGGCCGGGACAAUGGUCACAAAGCAAAGCUUUGCGGAAGAAGAAAAAAUACCGCAGCUCUUCAAAGUCAGCUAUGAGCAAGACUAUACGAUGUCAGUGCUGAACGAGUGCAGUCCUGAGUACAAUACCUGUGGCUAAAACCUUCCAUACAAAAAUGUUCCAAAAAUAUUUCACUAUUUCGAGCAUCAAAAGGGUGCACAACCCCGAUCUCUGGGACAUAUACCAAAGGAAAAAAGAGAAGAUGGCAAGAGACAACGGCAAAGAGAACGUGAAUGAACAGCGACUGUUUCACAAGACAAGACCAAACGUAUUAAAUUCCAUCUGCCGCAGAAACUUUGACUCGCGCUACUCCAGGAAUGUACUCCGGCUUGGCAGGGCUGUUUAUUUUUCGUGGAAUCCCUACUAUUCUCACAAGUAUUUCGAAAGACACCGCAAUUCCACAGGGGUGCAUGACAGCAUGUUCUUGGCCCGGGUCCUUGUUGGGGAGAGCUGUCCCCCGGACAGGAUGCACCCAUGUUUCCUUCACACGCCCUCCAAAG